This is a non-coding RNA of Paramuricea clavata, 1100 nucleotides long. The record is from the annotation of a GenBank genome assembly. Lineage: Eukaryota; Metazoa; Cnidaria; Anthozoa; Malacalcyonacea; Plexauridae.
GUUUCUAGGACCGUUCGAGAUUGUAUACGCAUGCCAAGUUUCAUCGGGUACUGAUGAAUAUAACAUUUAAACAAGAACAAGAGUUGUAGGAUAUUACUGCGCGCCGGAAACUCUUAUCAAGUCUCAUUACAAUUUGAGUCAGAGUUGAUGAGAUGACAAGCAGGGAACUGAAAGGCUAUUUUGUGUCUAAAUCCUCGUUUGACCGAGGCCUUAAUUUAUAAAGGACAUUUCCUGGGUAUCACCUAUGUCCGAUGGUCUACAGAGGCGAGAUAUAUUUAAUACUUAAUGUGAACAAGCAACUAUAUUGUCUGGCUAGGUUUCACAAUGAAUAUAUAUCACAUGGCAUGUAUAUCGUAUAUCAUUGUGUCAUCUGAAACCGUCUUGUAUUAAAUAAUUAAAUUGUAUGCAUGAUGCGCUAUGUAUAAAGACGGGAAAGUAAAUAGUGAGCGUUUUUGUCAACACGAACGUGACUCGAAAAUUGGUUUACUUAUACCAGUCAAGAACAUAAGCUUUCUUGCACGAGUGGCCGCCAAAAUUAGCUAUACCAAUUUUCAGGUCACAUUCGUUGUCAUGUGUGUUUCAAUGAAGAUUACAACAAACUGAUACAAACACAGUUUUCAAUCUAGUCAUCCCUCGGCAUCUGACGUCGCUUGCUUAUAUAAAAGCUCGUUAGUGAGUUGCAAAAGCACUUUCUCUAUUCGAUCUAAGCAUCAGUAAUAUGCUUGUUCCCAAACUGCACUUUGAACUAGAAGUCCAUGCACAGUACCGUGGUACUGUGACUUUUUCUGCGCCGCUUUCAGACCGCUCGUGUGAACGCGUUGUCUAGAAUUUAUACCUCGAAGUAUUGAGCAGACCUUCGUUCGUCGAAGUGUUUUGAAUUAUCAUCACGUGCCUUAUGUUCAAAAGCAAGUUUUAAGGUUGUAAUUGUAGCACUCACCUUCUUGUUAAAUGCUGAUCAAACGCUGAAUACCUUUGCUUUCGUUUUAGAUAUGACUUGGGAUAUCGGAGCGUAUAUUUACUCGCGGGCCUUGUCGGCUUAUGGCAGGUUACUACACAACCCCAAAGGUAUGCAGCAAUAGUAAUUUGAGCCGGAACUUGAC